ACAUCGCCCCACGGAUACAAUGUAACAGGAUAUUGUAUAUAUAGUUUUUAGGAAUAUAGUUUUAGCUCUUUUCAUUUCAAGUAGUUGUAUACAUCUUCAUUAGUUGUAGUGCAAAAUGUAUAUGCUUGGGUUAAGAGUCCAAGCGGUUGGUUCAAUUUUAUUGAAGGGUGGACAGGUUAGUCUAUUCUUGUCCCUUUGUCACAAGCUCUCUAGCUUGUCAAUACAAUAGCUUUCAGCUUCCUAGCUGAUUAACAUUAUCUAACUACAGCUUUCCUCCCUAACAUUUGCACACUUUUUAUUCACUCUGCUUAUAACUCUGCACAGACAGGACAUGGACUACAUAUAGUUCAGGAAUGCCAUAAUCCUAUAUGAUGUGGGUUUAUAGACACACCCCGGUGUCACCCACAGGGGUUGAUUGAUCAAUUGUGAUUGAUAAUGGAAUAAAUGUCACCUCAACAAACACAACCGCAGCUUGUCAUUUUUCAUAAUGAACUACCCCUGCUACAACAACAUACAUCAGACAUCGCCCCACGGACACAACAGACAUCGCCCCACGGACACAA
Long non-coding RNA from Haliotis rufescens (red abalone), 563 nucleotides. RefSeq lists it as uncharacterized. The transcript has 3 exons. NCBI's taxonomy places the organism in Eukaryota, Metazoa, Mollusca, Gastropoda, Lepetellida, Haliotidae. The record is from RefSeq and is a predicted model, not a curated record.